RNAcentral lists this ribosomal RNA (510 nucleotides) under uncultured bacterium. Its description in RNAcentral is "bacterial SSU rRNA". It matches the Rfam family "Bacterial small subunit ribosomal RNA", at positions 310 to 811 of the family's 1533-position model. The record is from RNAcentral.
ACACUGGAACUGAGACACGGUCCAGACUCCUACGGGAGGCAGCAGUGGGGAAUAUUGCGCAAUGGGGGAAACCCUGACGCAGCAACGCCGCGUGAGUGAGGAAGGACUUCGGUCUGUAAAGCUCUGUUAAUGUGGAAAAAUGGUAGUUGGUCUAAUAGGCCGAUUAUUUGAUGGUACACAUAGAGGAAGCACCGGCUAACUUCGUGCCAGCAGCCGCGGUAAUACGAAGGGUGCAAGCGUUGUUCGGAUUUAUUGGGCGUAAAGCGCGCGUAGGCGGACCUGUAAGUCAGAUGUGAAAUCUCGGGGCUCAACCUCGAAACUGCGUCUGAAACUGCAGGUCUAGAAUCUUGGAGGGGGAAGGGGAAUUUCGCAUGUAGGGGUAAAAUCCGUAGAUAUGCGAAGGAACACCAGAGGCGAAGGCGCCUUCCUGGACAAGUAUUGACGCUGAGGCGCGAAAGCGUGGGGAUCAAACAGGAUUAGAUACCCUGGUAGUCCACGCUGUAAACGAUG